UUAAGCCAUGCAUGUAAWAGUACAUCGRAUAGAGAAACUGCGUACGGCUCAUUAGAGCAGAUAUGCACUUGUCGAGGUUYCCCMUGGAUAACUGCGGUAAUUCUGGAGCUAAUACAUGCAAUAUGCCCCGACUCACGGAGGGGUGCACUUAUUAGUACAGACCAAUCCUUCAAAAGAGGACGUUUGUUGACUCUGAAUAACCUAGUUAAUCGUCGGUUUACCGAUGAUGUCCUCGRAAAGUGUCUGCCCUAUCAACCUGGUGGUAGUCUAUUAGUCUACCAUGGUUAUAACGGGUAACGGAGAAUCAGGGUUCGACUCCGGAGAGGGAGCCUUAGAAACGGCUACCACAUCCAAGGAAGGCAGCAGGCGUGAAACUUAUCCACUGCAUAUAGUGAGAUAGUGACUAAACAUAAAAAGACCAUUCCGUUCGGAGCGGUUUUUUCAAUGAAUAGAGUUUAAAACACUUUAUGAGGAUCAAAUGGAGGGCAAGUCUGGUGCCAGCAGCCGCGGUAAUUCCAGCUCCAUUAAUGUAAUUCGUCAUUGCUGCGGUUAAAAAGCUCGUAGUUGGAUCUUAGUUGCGUGUUUUUGUUCCUCAACGAGGUUAACUUAAACUGCGACUAUUUGCUAGUUUUCGAUAAUUGACUUCGGUCGUUAUUGUGACUAGCGAGUUACUUUGAACAAAUCAGAGUGCUCAAAACAGGCGUCUGCCUGAAUACUCCAUCAUAGAAUAAUAGAAGAGGACUUCGGUCUCUUUUAUUGGUUUAAAGAUCGAAAUAAUGGUUAAGAGGGACAAUUCGGGGGCAUUCGUAUCCCUGCGCGAGAGGUGAAAUUCGUGGACCGCAGGGGGACGCCCAAAAGCGAAAGCAUUUGCCAAGAAUGUCUUCAUUAAUCAAGAACGAAAGUCAGAGGUUCGAAGGCGAUUAGAUACCGCCCUAGUUCUGACCGUAAACUAUGCCAUCUAGCGAUCCGAUGGGGUAURUAUACCUUGUCGGGGAGUUUCCCGGAAACGAAAGUCUUUCGGUUCCGGGGGUAGUAUGGUUGCAAAGCUGAAACUUAAAGAAAUUGACGGAAGGGCACCACAAGGAGUGGAGCUUGCGGCUUAAUUUGACUCAACACGGGAAAACUCACCCGGCCCGGACACCGUUAGGAUUGACAGAUUGAAAGCUCUUUCUAGAUUUGGUGGUUGGUGGUGCAUGGCCGUUCUUAGUUGGUGGAGUGAUUUGUCUGGUUUAUUCCGAUAACGAGCGAGACUCUAACCUGCUAAAUAGUGACGGGAUAACUUUGUCCCUGUUACUUCUUAGAGGGAUUAGUGGUGUUUAGCCACACUAGAUUGAGCGAUAACAGGUCUGUGAUGCCCUUAGAUGUCCGGGGCUGCACGCGUGCUACACUGGAAGAAUCAGCGUGUUUUUCCAUURCCGAAAGGUAUUGGUAAACCGUUGAAACUCUUCCGUGACCGGGAUAGGGAAUUGAAAUUAUUUCCCUUAAACGAGGAAUUCCUAGUAAGUGUGAGUCAUCAGCUCACGUUGAUUACGUCCCUGCCCUUUGUACACACCGCCCGUCGCUAUCCGGGACUGAGUUGUUUCGAGAGGAGUGGAGACCGUUGUCUUGGGGUCCAUUGGGACUUCGGGAUGAUGGGAACUACCCCAAUCGCAAUGGCUUGAACCGGGUAAAAGUCGUAACAAGGUAGCU
Molecule: ribosomal RNA, 1689 nt
Filed under: Choriorhabditis dudichi
Lineage: Eukaryota; Metazoa; Nematoda; Chromadorea; Rhabditida; Rhabditidae
Description: SSU rRNA
Rfam family: Eukaryotic small subunit ribosomal RNA
Source: RNAcentral